This 1188-nucleotide long non-coding RNA is filed under the name Neogale vison (American mink). RNAcentral's name for it is "Neovison vison (American mink) lncRNA (ENSNVIG00000022479.1)". Lineage: Eukaryota; Metazoa; Chordata; Mammalia; Carnivora; Mustelidae. The record is from RNAcentral.
GCGGGACCCGGCUGGGUGGACAGGAACCUGCCCGCUGGAAGGUCCCCGGGGCUCUGACCACCCUGCUCCACGCAUCCCCCAGGGCCCCUGCCAGGCUACGGGUCCGCGUGCUCAGAGCCGGCAGGAUUCUAGAGGCUUCUGCCAUGACCCAGGCCUCUGCUCAUCCUGCUACAAUCCCGGAAGUAAAGAGGACAGCAGGACCUGUGCCCUGUGGACAGGACGGACCCAGGGCGCACAGCGACUCUGCAGAAGGCACCAACGUCCCCCAUGAGGCCGCCAGAGCCCCGAGGCUGCCUCCACGGCUGCACCGGAGCCCACAGUGCAUGGGAUCCAGAGGCCGGAGCACAGACCCUCAGCUGGUCUCCUGCUGACCCCCAGGAAAGCUCUCUCCCAGACUCCGCUCCUGCCUCUCUCUGCCAACCACGCAUCGUCCAGCACCAGCCGGGCACUGCUGGCCACCGGGGACAGGAUCAGCGCCUACCCUGAUGUGUCACUUGCCCGGCUCGUCCCUUACAAGUCACGGGUGGGUGGCUGUGGUCUCGGCCACCCAUCCCCCCUGGUGCCAUCCCCGUCCCUCUCACCCCACAGGGCCUCUCAGAGGAGGCGCCAGAGGCCACCGCCCACAUCGGCUGAGACUCUGCACUGAGCUCGGUACAAACCUGAGGUCCUCGUCUUCCCUACAAGCGGCCCCCAACCUGGAGGGGUCCUGGAGGGGUCCUGGAGGGGCCCGGAUUGCCCCGGCGAGCCUGCCAGAUGCUCUCACCGCCGCCCGCGGGUGCACAGGAAACAAACUCCUGGGUUUUGAGAGCGGUCUGUUUUCCUUGGAAACCCAUUUCCUGGACUCCUGGAAAGCCCUGAGGGAAACUGCACAGCCGAGUGGCACGGGCCGAAGACCUCUUCCUUCUCAGCCCGUGAAAACAUCUGGUUCGAAGCCUGCUCUCCGCAGACCAACACUGGACCCGUCCGUUGUAACGCAAGGCCCCGUGCCACUGGGGCCUCCCGGAACCUCAAGGCGGGUGGCCCUGUAGCACAGAUGCCGCCUAGAAGCUGCCAUUGGCCAGUGUCCCCGUGAAGUCGGAGGAGCGCCUAUCCACGGCUGUGCCACUGCUGCCCGGCACUCCGCCAGCUCAGCCCUCCCUGUCGGGGCUUCCCACGGCACAGCAGGCUUUCUGACCUCCAGGCAUGUGG